Molecule: ribosomal RNA, 567 nt
Filed under: Aspergillus niger
Lineage: Eukaryota; Fungi; Ascomycota; Eurotiomycetes; Eurotiales; Aspergillaceae
Description: eukaryotic LSU rRNA
Rfam family: 5.8S ribosomal RNA (bases 183-336)
Source: RNAcentral
CAAAGGUUACUUUUUGGGCCACCUCCCAUCCGUGUCUAUUGUACCCUGUUGCUUCGGCGGGCCCGCCGCUUGUCGGCCGCCGGGGGGGCGCCUCUGCCCCCCGGGCCCGUGCCCGCCGGAGACCCCAACACGAACACUGUCUGAAAGCGUGCAGUCUGAGUUGAUUGAAUGCAAUCAGUUAAAACUUUCAACAAUGGAUCUCUUGGUUCCGGCAUCGAUGAAGAACGCAGCGAAAUGCGAUAACUAAUGUGAAUUGCAGAAUUCAGUGAAUCAUCGAGUCUUUGAACGCACAUUGCGCCCCCUGGUAUUCCGGGGGGCAUGCCUGUCCGAGCGUCAUUGCUGCCCUCAAGCCCGGCUUGUGUGUUGGGUCGCCGUCCCCCUCUCCGGGGGGACGGGCCCGAAAGGCAGCGGCGGCACCGCGUCCGAUCCUCGAGCGUAUGGGGCUUUGUCACAUGCUCUGUAGGAUUGGCCGGCGCCUGCCGACGUUUUCCAACCAUUCUUUCCAGGUUGACCUCGGAUCAGGUAGGGAUACCCGCUGAACUUAAGCAUAUCAAUAAGGCGGAGGAA